UACGAAGGGGGCUAGCGUUGCUCGGAAUCACUGGGCGUAAAGCGCACGUAGGCGGCUUGUUAAGUCGGGGGUGAAAUCCUGGAGCUCAACUCCAGAACUGCCUUUGAUACUGGCGAGCUUGAGUUCGGGAGAGGUGAGUGGAACUGCGAGUGUAGAGGUGAAAUUCGUAGAUAUUCGCAAGAACACCAGUGGCGAAGGCGGCUCACUGGCCCGAUACUGACGCUGAGGUGCGAAAGCGUGGGGAGCGAACAGG
This 253-nucleotide ribosomal RNA is filed under the name uncultured bacterium. RNAcentral's name for it is "partial 16S ribosomal RNA". It matches the Rfam family "Bacterial small subunit ribosomal RNA", at positions 524 to 776 of the family's 1533-position model. The record is from RNAcentral.